CGAAGGUGACGACCGUUGCUCGGAAUCACUGGGCAUAAAGCGCGCGUAGGUGGCUUGGUAAGUCCAUGGUGAAAUCCCUCGACUCAACCGAGGAACUGCCGUGGAUACUGCCGAGCUUGAGAACGGAGGGGUAAGUGGAACUCUCGGUGUAGCGGUGAAAUGCGUAGAUAUCGAGAGGAACGCCGGUGGCGAAAGCGACUUACUGGACCGUUUCUGACACUGAUGCGCGAAAGCUAGGGGAGCAAACAGGAUUAGAUACCCUGGUAGUCCUAGCUGUAAACGAUGAGUACUGGGUAGGGUUGGUCCAAUGCCAGCCCUGCCGGAGCAAAUGUGUUAAGUACUCCGCCUGGGGAGUAUGGUCGCAAGGCUA
This 370-nucleotide ribosomal RNA is filed under the name uncultured organism. RNAcentral describes it as "bacterial SSU rRNA". It matches the Rfam family "Bacterial small subunit ribosomal RNA", at positions 526 to 896 of the family's 1533-position model. The record is from RNAcentral.